AGCGAACGCUGGCGGCAGGCUUAACACAUGCAAGUCGAGCGGGCGUAGCAAUACGUCAGCGGCAGACGGGUGAGUAACGCGUGGGAACAUACCUUCUGGUUCGGAACAACACAGGGAAACUUGUGCUAAUACCGGAUAAGCCCUUACGGGGAAAGAUUUAUCGCCGAAAGAUUGGCCCGCGUCUGAUUAGCUAGUUGGUGAGGUAACGGCUCACCAAGGCGACGAUCAGUAGCNGGUCUGAGAGGAUGAUCAGCCACAUUGGGACUGAGACACGGCCCAAACUCCUACGGGAGGCAGCAGUGGGGAAUAUUGGACAAUGGGCGCAAGCCUGAUCCAGCCAUGCCGCGUGAGUGAUGAAGGCCCUAGGGUUGUAAAGCUCUUUUGUGCGGGAAGAUAAUGACGGUACCGCAAGAAUAAGCCCCGGCUAACUUCGUGCCAGCCGCCGCAGUU
Molecule: ribosomal RNA, 450 nt
Filed under: uncultured bacterium
Lineage: Bacteria
Description: bacterial SSU rRNA
Rfam family: Bacterial small subunit ribosomal RNA
Source: RNAcentral